This 539-nucleotide long non-coding RNA is filed under the name Pan paniscus (pygmy chimpanzee). RNAcentral describes it as "lncRNA (ENSPPAG00000044197.1)". The record is from RNAcentral. Lineage: Eukaryota; Metazoa; Chordata; Mammalia; Primates; Hominidae.
GGGUAUAAUGGCAUCUGAAAGGCCAAGAAUGCUGUUGUCAAAGCUGAAACUGAAACAGAUCUUCUUUAAAGGGUCUCCUUUUCUCAGUUCUAGUCACCAGCUAAUGCAGAUGGAAAGGGAAAUACAGGGCCACAGAAGGAGAUUGAAAAGCACCGGCCUAAGCAACUUUGGAAAAUGGACACACCCAUAUUCACACCACCACAACCGAAGAAUAGAAUGUUCCUAUCACCCGGAAAAGUUCCUUCAUUCUCUUUUGCAGCCAAUCACCCUCAUUCAACCCCUGGCUCCCAGCAACCACUGAUCUAAUUUGAGUCACCAUAGAUUAUUUUGCUUAUUUUGGAAUUUCAUCUCAGGGAACCAUACUGUAUGCAUUCUUUCAUGUCUGGCUUCUUUUGAUUAGCUUAGUUUGUUUUUUUGUUUGUUUGUUUAGACUCAUCCAAGAGUAGUGGCUAAUCUUAUAUUUUAUUUUUAUCACUGAGUAAUAUCUCCUUAUAUGAAUAUAUUAAUAAGUCAACAUUUAAUAAUGCAUUCACUUUUUG